GCCUGUGAUGACUGAGUGCGAUCGCGUAGGUGGUGAUGGCAGCCGGACAGGGCCUGCGCCCCGCUCGGGGCUGUGUCCCCAGGAAGCUCUGGGUGCAGGUUCCUUGUUGCUGCAUUUGUUGCUCCAGGCGAGGACAACUCAGGCGGGAGAGUGGACAGCAGGUCACGAGGCCGAGGUUUCUGAGCGGGGGUUAGCUCCGGCUUUCAGAGCACCCACUGUGCGCUCCCCAGCCUCUGCUAAGUCUGAACAAUGACCCUGAGAAGGAAAGGUGGGGAAACUGAGGACCGAGGACAGCAGCCAGUUGAGGAGUGUGUCCUGAAGCAAACCACCCUCGCUCUGCCUGCCAGCCGAGUCCAGUCCACACUUAACCUCUUCCUUUCGUCCAGGAACACAUGCCCAUCCAUGACCUUCCUUGCAAAUGGCAGCGCGUGCCCAUCUUGCUGUCCGGUGGCUCAGUCGUGUCUGACUCUCUGCACCCCCUUGGAAGGCAGCACGCCAGGCUUCCCUGUUCUUCAGUGGCUCGGGCAACUUCUUGACGUCAGGACGCUCAAAAAAGUGCCCCGAGCCUCUUUUGCUGUGAUUGAUUUUGCAGUUCAGAGGAACCUUUAUGGAAACUUGCUUGGAAAUUGGAAAGCCAAGCCAGUAUGCUGGAAGUUGCAGCAGAAGCAUUGACAUCACUGCUACUCCGAAAGGUCUGGAGACACCUCUGGGAAAUUUUUUAUUCCAGAAUCAUCCUGAGUAAGUGAGGCUCUAAUGGCGUCUCAUUUUACAGUUGAAGGAACCAAGCCAGGGAAGUUUAAUAGAUGCAAAGUAGCCGUGAUAAAGCCAGAGCAGGAGCCCAGUUCUCUUGAGCCCAAUUCUAAGACUUUUUCCACACCAGACAGUGUUACCUCUUACAUGACCCAUUAGGUUACUGUCUUAGGGGAUAUGUUUAGACUCUAGGUAUUCUUGAAAACAGAUUACAGAGAAACCCAUCUAUAAUGCUGGGGCAAGGAGGUGGCCAGCACAGAACUGGAAUGUUUCUGCCCCAAAGGGCCAAUUAAUUUCUCAGUGUAAUUUUAUCCAGCCCAAUAAGAAGGUCUCAAGAAGUGGACAUUUUAUACAUAUUUUAAAAGCUUUAGCCAUACACGUAUUCUAAAGGACCAAGGUGUGGAGGCAUGUUACUCCAUGAAACCAGAGUUAUUUUUCUUUAAAAAAAAAAAAAAAAAGAGCUACGGCUAGUUCCUAUUUCCCAGAACAAGAAGUUAGGGUUUUCCCUGCUUACUUAGAGAAAGGAUUUUCAGAACAAAUGAUAAUUGAAGUGGAGUUAGUACUGUUCGCUGAGACUGCUGGUAUUUUCAACUUGUCAUAAACUGAAGCUCUUCCAGAUGUAGUCCAUGGGCCAUCAGUCUCAUCUGGGAGCUGGUAAGAAAUAGAGAAUCUCAGUCCCUUCCUGGACCUGCUGAAUCAGAAUCCAUAGUUUAACAAGAUCUCCAAGGGAUUCACAUAUGAAUUAAAGCUGGAGAAUCACACUGUCUCAAAAACGUAAUAGACAUGAUGAAUACAGCUCUCUCUUCUCACUCUUCCUCCCUACAGACCUCCUUUCCUUCAUUCUGUGCUUUUCCCCCCUCUUCUUUUGCCCAUAUUGGGUCAGGAAAUAAAAGGAAAGAUUUUUAUUCAUGAUAGAGUUAUAAUUUUGCCUUUUUUAAAGGAACAUAUGCAUCUUCCUAGAACAUAAUAGACUCAACUGUGUAGACUCAAUACACUUACGGGACCCGUGGGGAGGGGGGAGAGAAACAAGCAACAAACUCCAUAUAAAUGGUAUUUAUGUCAGUACAGAAAAUAGAUGAACAAUUCCUAACAGGAAGAUGAGCAAAGCCCAUGAAC
Bos taurus (domestic cattle) is the source of this 1866-nucleotide long non-coding RNA. Lineage: Eukaryota; Metazoa; Chordata; Mammalia; Artiodactyla; Bovidae. The record is from Ensembl.